This is a long non-coding RNA of Phodopus roborovskii (desert hamster), 340 nucleotides long. RefSeq lists it as uncharacterized. The record is from RefSeq and is a predicted model, not a curated record. Lineage: Eukaryota; Metazoa; Chordata; Mammalia; Rodentia; Cricetidae. The transcript has 3 exons.
AAAGACAACAUGAAGACAGUCUCAGUCUUGGUUCUGAUGGCUAUGCUUGCCAUAGGGAAGGACUCUGCUGGUGCUCUGAGAUCUUCCAGAAGUUUACAGAAACCUGGAGCUUGCCCCAUUAUUCCCCCAACUUCUAUUGGAGCUUGUGAUGAUAACUGCUUAACAGAUGAAUCAUGCCCUGAGCAAAUGAAGUGCUGCAACAAUGGGUGUGGACAGGACUGCAUGCCGGCUGUCUUUGGAAAAUCUGGCAGCCCUUUGGGAGAUGGAUUCCAUACUCACCAGAAUGACUGAUGGCCAGCCCCAGAAGAUUUCCCAUGAAUUGACGGGUCCCCGCCUGCUA